GUCAUAUCUGUGUGAGCUUGUUGAAAAUGAAAAUAACGGAGUGGUGGAAGUUAACAGCUAGUUAGAGAUAAAUUGUCUGCUCUAGCUGACAUUAGUAUCUUAAUGUAGAAAUUAAAAAGUGUUAAAUUCUUCCUGCCUCAUUAAGAGCCCUGAUUACUUUAUUGCCCAAACCGGGCAAACCUUGCAACAAAUGUGAAAAUCUAAGACCAAUAAGUCUUCUUAAUGUCGACUUAAAGAUUCUUUGCAAAAUUUUGGCUCGAAGAUUGGAGAGAAUAUUGCCCGAAAAAAUUACUUGUGAGCAAAAUGGGUUUAUUGUAGGUAGACAGGGAUUUCAUAAUGUGAGACGUGUGCUGGAUAUUAUUUAUAAUAUGGGGGAAAAAACCCAGACACUUCUUUGCUAUCAUUGGAUGCCAAAAAGGCCUCAGGCUCUAUUUAUUUGAAAAGAUUUGGCUGUGGGGACAAUUUCUGUCGACUGGUUAAACUUUUAUACAACGAGCCUUAUGCUGAAAUAGUAACAAAUGGAGUUAUAUCUAAAUCAUUUAAAAUUAAACGAGGUUGUAGGCAAGGGCCUCAGACAAGGUGAAC
Molecule: long non-coding RNA, 585 nt
Organism: Xiphophorus hellerii (green swordtail)
Lineage: Eukaryota; Metazoa; Chordata; Actinopteri; Cyprinodontiformes; Poeciliidae
Exons: 3
Source: RefSeq, a predicted model, not a curated record